CCUACGGGAGGCAGCAGUAGGGAAUCUUCGGCAAUGGACGAAAGUCUGACCGAGCAACGCCGCGUGAGUGAAGAAGGUUUUCGGAUCGUAAAACUCUGUUGGUAGAGAAGAACGUUGGUGAGAGUGGAAAGCUCAUCAAGUGACGGUAACUACCCAGAAAGGGACGGCUAACUACGUGCCAGCAGCCGCGGUAAUACGUAGGUCCCGAGCGUUGUCCGGAUUUAUUGGGCGUAAAGCGAGCGCAGGUGGUUUAUUAAGUCUGGUGUAAAAGGCAGUGGCUCAACCAUUGUAUGCAUUGGAAACUGGUAGACUUGAGUGCAGGAGAGGAGAGUGGAAUUCCAUGUGUAGCGGUGAAAUGCGUAGAUAUAUGGAGGAACACCGGUGGCGAAAGCGGCUCUCUGGCCUGUAACUGACACUGAGGCUCGAAAGCGUGGGGAGC
This 439-nucleotide ribosomal RNA is filed under the name uncultured bacterium. RNAcentral describes it as "bacterial SSU rRNA". It matches the Rfam family "Bacterial small subunit ribosomal RNA", at positions 338 to 769 of the family's 1533-position model. The record is from RNAcentral.